GAUGAACGCUGGCGGCGUGCCUAAUACAUGCCAGUCGAGCGAACGGACGAGAAGCUUGCUUCUCUGAUGUUAGCGGCGGACGGGUGAGUAACACGUGGAUAACCUACCUAUAAGACUGGGAUAACUUCGGGAAACCGGAGCUAAUACCGGAUAAUAUUUUGAACCGCAUGGUUCAAAAGUGAAAGACGGUCUUGCUGUCACUUAUAGAUGGAUCCGCGCUGCAUUAGCUAGUUGGUAAGGUAACGGCUUACCAAGGCAACGAUGCAUAGCCGACCUGAGAGGGUGAUCGGCCACACUGGAACUGAGACACGGUCCAGACUCCUACGGGAGGCAUCAGUAGGGAAUCUUCCGCAAUAGGCGGAAGCAUGACGGAGCAACGCCGCGUGAGUGAUAAAGGUCUUCGGAUCGUAAAACUCUGUUAUUAGGGAAGAACAUAUGUGUAAGUAACUGUGCACAUCUUGACGGUACCUAGUCAGAAAGCCACGGCUAACUACGUG
This 497-nucleotide ribosomal RNA is filed under the name uncultured bacterium. Its description in RNAcentral is "partial 16S ribosomal RNA". It matches the Rfam family "Bacterial small subunit ribosomal RNA", at positions 28 to 507 of the family's 1533-position model. The record is from RNAcentral.